UACGUAGGGUGCAAGCGUUAAUCGGAAUUACUGGGCGUAAAGCGUGCGCAGGCGGUUUUGCAAGACAGAUGUGAAAUCCCCGGGCUUAACCUGGGAACUGCAUUUGUGACUGCAUAGCUGGAGUGCGGCAGAGGGGGAUGGAAUUCCGCGUGUAGCAGUGAAAUGCGUAGAUAUGCGGAGGAACACCGAUGGCGAAGGCAAUCCCCUGGGCCUGCACUGACGCUCAUGCACGAAAGCGUGGGGAGCAAACAGG
RNAcentral lists this ribosomal RNA (253 nucleotides) under uncultured bacterium. RNAcentral's name for it is "partial 16S ribosomal RNA". It matches the Rfam family "Bacterial small subunit ribosomal RNA", at positions 524 to 776 of the family's 1533-position model. The record is from RNAcentral.